RNAcentral lists this ribosomal RNA (571 nucleotides) under Salmonella enterica. RNAcentral describes it as "partial 23S ribosomal RNA". It matches the Rfam family "Bacterial large subunit ribosomal RNA", at positions 930 to 1503 of the family's 2925-position model. Lineage: Bacteria; Pseudomonadati; Pseudomonadota; Gammaproteobacteria; Enterobacterales; Enterobacteriaceae. The record is from RNAcentral. RNAcentral also lists the same sequence under 1 other name.
CCCGGCUUACCAACCCGAUGCAAACUGCGAAUACCGGAGAAUGUUAUCACGGGAGACACACGGCGGGUGCUAACGUCCGUCGUGAAGAGGGAAACAACCCAGACCGCCAGCUAAGGUCCCAAAGUCAUGGUUAAGUGGGAAACGAUGUGGGAAGGCCCAGACAGCCAGGAUGUUGGCUUAGAAGCAGCCAUCAUUUAAAGAAAGCGUAAUAGCUCACUGGUCGAGUCGGCCUGCGCGGAAGAUGUAACGGGGCUAAACCAUGCACCGAAGCUGCGGCAGCGACGCUGAUGCGUUGUUGGGUAGGGGAGCGUUCUGUAAGCCUGCGAAGGUGGCCUGUGAGGGUUGCUGGAGGUAUCAGAAGUGCGAAUGCUGACAUAAGUAACGAUAAAGCGGGUGAAAAGCCCGCUCGCCGGAAGACCAAGGGUUCCUGUCCAACGUUAAUCGGGGCAGGGUGAGUCGACCCCUAAGGCGAGGCCGAAAGGCGUAGUCGAUGGGAAACGGGUUAAUAUUCCCGUACUUGGUGUUACUGCGAAGGGGGGACGGAGAAGGCUAUGUUGGCCGGGCGACGGUU